UUAUACAUUAGAACAUGCCGGGGGACGUUCGCAACGGAAGUUUGGUAGUUUUAAGCGUUAAUACCGUCAACCCCUUGGUGAACUAACAGUUGGAUGCACAAUUACCCGGAGGUCCUAGAUAGCUUAUCGGCGUAGGAACAUCGGGGACACUCCGGCACCUAUAUGACCUUAUGCGCGUGUGAGACUGGUGUGCCAUCGUUAAGUCGAUGUCAUAAAUCAGGUCAUUUUUUG
Molecule: unclassified non-coding RNA, 231 nt
Filed under: synthetic construct
Source: RNAcentral